AGAGUUUGAUCAUGGCUCAGGAUGAACGUUGGCGGCGUGCCUAAUACAUGCAAGUCGAACGGUAGUUGAGCAUUCGUGCUUGAUGAGAGUGGCGAACGGGUGAGUAACACGUAACUGAUCUGCCCUUUAGACUGGGAUAACCUUUGGAAACAGAGGCUAAUACCGGAUGAGUUCGCGGUAGUUAGAGAGCCGUGAGGAAAGGCUAAUGCGCUAAGGGAUGAGGUUGCGGGCCAUCAGCUAGUUGGUGAGGUAAAGGCUCACCAAGGCGAUGACGGUUAGGGGAUCUGAGAGGGUGGCCCCCCACACUGGGACUGAGACACGGCCCAGACUCCUACGGGAGGCAGCAGUAAGGGAUAUUGCACAAUGGACGGAAGUCUGAUGCAGCGACGCCGCGUGGGUGAAGAAGGUUUUCGGAUCGUAAAGCCCUUUUCUAUGUGACGAGAGAGGACGGUAGCAUAGGAAUAAGUGUCGGCUAACUACGUGCCAGCAGCCGCGGUAAAACGUAGGACGCGAACGUUAUCCGGAGUUACUGGGCGUAAAGCGCGCGUAGGCGGUUGGUUAAGUUACCUAUGAAAGAUACAGGCUAAACUUGUAUUGGUUAGGUGAAACUGGCU
RNAcentral lists this ribosomal RNA (614 nucleotides) under uncultured Chloroflexota bacterium. RNAcentral's name for it is "bacterial SSU rRNA". It matches the Rfam family "Bacterial small subunit ribosomal RNA", at positions 8 to 638 of the family's 1533-position model. Lineage: Bacteria; Bacillati; Chloroflexota. The record is from RNAcentral.